Long non-coding RNA from Peromyscus leucopus (white-footed mouse), 774 nucleotides. RefSeq lists it as uncharacterized. The transcript is spliced from 3 exons. The record is from RefSeq and is a predicted model, not a curated record. NCBI's taxonomy places the organism in Eukaryota, Metazoa, Chordata, Mammalia, Rodentia, Cricetidae.
GCGUCUCUAUUACAAACCUCCUAUCAUUUAAUAACUUUGUGGUUGAGCUUGUUGGGUCUGCUAAAUUAACUGUUCUACCUAAAAGCUUUCCAAAUGUAACAGCCGGCCAGUAGAACGCAUAAUGUUUUCUCAUCAAAGCAGUACUGAAUUUUAACCAACUUAACCCCUUUAAGCCUCUCAUAGGCCCGAGGUCUGUUGUGUGGUGGGUGCUGUCUACCACAGCGUCUGAGAAAUGACGGUCCCCUAAAGUUCCGCAGAACUUUCCUACCAGGGGCAUUCUCACGGAAGAAAAUCCUGAACACCUGUCACUCAGAUAUGUACCCAAACUUGAGCUUGCCGGUGACCUGUGUCCUCAACAUCCAGCAGCCCUGAGUCCAACUGCCAUUCAGGGAAGGAUUUUACAGAGAUACUACCUUCCCAAGAUACUAUCCCGACUCCCACCCGUCCAUCUCCAACUUCCUUUUCUGAGGGAUCUCUCCACGGAAAAGAACAAGAAAAGCACUCAUAGAGUGGAUGAAAUGCUAUAGGGUGAUCUACAGAAUAAAUACAGCAAAACAGAACCUCUGUGGUCCUGAGUCAGAGGAGACGCAUUCAGACCCCAGCGAGUGCACAUUCUCAGGACUUGAUGGACAAAGACAGGUGUUUAAUGUAUUGAAGCAGAACCGUGUAACAAGAAAAGAUAAACACACUGUGCUAACCGUUGCUUGUCACAGUUUCAUGGUUUGACUGUGUUGAUCACUAAAAAGAGGAUUCUUGGGAUGGGGCAUCCGUAAA